RNAcentral lists this ribosomal RNA (250 nucleotides) under uncultured bacterium. Its description in RNAcentral is "partial 16S ribosomal RNA". It matches the Rfam family "Bacterial small subunit ribosomal RNA", at positions 355 to 612 of the family's 1533-position model. The record is from RNAcentral.
UGGGGAAUAUUGCGCAAUGGGCGAAAGCCUGACGCAGCCACGCCGCGUGAGUGAUGAAGGCCUUCGGGUUGUAAAGCUCUGUCGGGAGGGAAGACGGGAGAAAUCCCAGACGGUACCUCGCAAGAAAGCACCGGCUAACUCUGUGCCAGCAGCCGCGGUAAUACAGAGGGUGCAAGCGUUGCUCGGAUUUACUGGGCGUAAAGCGUACGCAGACGGUCACGCAGGUCGGAUGUGAAAGCCCCGGGCUCAA